RNAcentral lists this transfer RNA (90 nucleotides) under Medicago truncatula (barrel medic). RNAcentral's name for it is "tRNA gene17276". The stretch from base 16 to 88 matches the Rfam family "tRNA". From Rfam's summary of the family: Transfer RNA (tRNA) molecules are approximately 80 nucleotides in length. Their secondary structure includes four short double-helical elements and three loops (D, anti-codon, and T loops). Lineage: Eukaryota; Viridiplantae; Streptophyta; Magnoliopsida; Fabales; Fabaceae. The record is from RNAcentral.
UAGUAACGAGUAGAUGGGGAUGUAGCUCAGAUGGUAGAGCGCUCGCUUAGCAUGCGAGAGGUAUGGGGAUCGAUACCCCGCAUCUCCAAC